RNAcentral lists this ribosomal RNA (293 nucleotides) under uncultured bacterium. RNAcentral describes it as "partial 16S ribosomal RNA". It matches the Rfam family "Bacterial small subunit ribosomal RNA", at positions 505 to 796 of the family's 1533-position model. The record is from RNAcentral.
GUGUCAGCAGCCGCGGUAAUACGAGGGGUGCAAGCGUUAUUCGGAAUCAUUGGGCGUAAAGGGUGCGUAGGCGGUAUAUUAAGUCAGCUGUUAAAUUUCCCGGCCUAACCGGGAGUAUGCGGUCGAUACUGAUGUACUAGAGGGUGGAAGAGAGAAGUGGAAUUCUCGGAGUAGCGGUAAAAUGCGUAGAUCUCGAGAGGAACACCGAUGGCGAAGGCAGCUUCUUGGUCCACAUCUGACGCUGAGUGCACGAAAGCGUGUGGAGCAAACAGGAUUAGAUACCCUGGUAGUCC